RNAcentral lists this ribosomal RNA (514 nucleotides) under Lactobacillus delbrueckii subsp. bulgaricus. RNAcentral describes it as "partial 23S ribosomal RNA". It matches the Rfam family "Bacterial large subunit ribosomal RNA", at positions 1873 to 2386 of the family's 2925-position model. The record is from RNAcentral. Lineage: Bacteria; Bacillati; Bacillota; Bacilli; Lactobacillales; Lactobacillaceae.
AAGGUUAAGAGGAGAGCUUAGCGCAAGCGAAGGUUUGAAUUGAAGCCCCAGUAAACGGCGGCCGUAACUAUAACGGUCCUAAGGUAGCGAAAUUCCUUGUCGGGUAAGUUCCGACCUGCACGAAAGGUGUAAUGAUUUGGGCACUGUCUCAACGAGAGACUCGGUGAAAUUAUAAUACCCGUGAAGAUGCGGGUUACCCGCGACAGGACGGAAAGACCCCAUGGAGCUUUACUGCAGUUUAAUAUUGGGUAUCUGUCAAGCAUGUACAGGAUAGGUAGGAGCCGGAGAAGAUAGGACGCCAGUCUUAUCUGAGGCGCUGUUGGGAUACUACCCUUGCUUGACGGAUGCUCUAACUCAGGCCUGUGAUCCAGGCCGAGGACAGUGUUUGACGGGCAGUUUGACUGGGGCGGUCGCCUCCUAAAGUGUAACGGAGGCGCCCAAAGGUUCCCUCAGAAUGGUUGGAAAUCAUUCGCAGAGUGUAAAGGUAAAAGGGAGCUUGACUGCGAGAGAGACA